Molecule: ribosomal RNA, 251 nt
Filed under: uncultured bacterium
Lineage: Bacteria
Description: partial 16S ribosomal RNA
Rfam family: Bacterial small subunit ribosomal RNA
Source: RNAcentral
GGGGAAUAUUGGACAAUGGGGGCAACCCUGAUCCAGCAAUGCCGCGUGUGUGAAGAAGGUCUUCGGAUUGUAAAGCACUUUCGACGGGGACGAUGAUGACGGUACCCGUAGAAGAAGCCCCGGCUAACUUCGUGCCAGCAGCCGCGGUAAUACGAAGGGGGCUAGCGUUGCUCGGAAUGACUGGGCGUAAAGGGCGUGUAGGCGGUUUACACGGUCAGAUGUGAAAUCCCCGGGCUUAACCUGGGAGCUGC